UGAGUACGAGCUGCUACGGCAGCGAAGUGGGUGAUGUCAUGCUUUCAAGAAAAGCCCUAUACCCGUUAAGGCAUGAUGGCCUGUACCCGAAACCGACACAGGUGGGGUGGUAGAGAAUACCGAGGGGCGCGAGGUAACUCUCUCUAAGGAACUCGGCAAAAUGGCCCCGUAACUUCGGGAGAAGGGGUGCCACCGCAAGGUGGUCGCAGUGAAGAGGCCCAGGCGACUGUUUACCAAAAACACAGGUCUCCGCUAAGUCGCAAGACGAUGUAUGGGGGCUGACGCCUGCCCAGUGCCGGAAGGUUAAGGAAGCUGGUCAGCGUAAGCGAAGCUAGCGACUGAAGCCCCGGUGAACGGCGGCCGUAACGAUAACGGUCCUAAGGUAGCGAAAUUCCUUGUCGGGUAAGUUCCGACCCGCACGAAAGGCGUAACGAUCUGGGCGCUGUCUCGGAGAGAGGCUCGGCGAAAUAGAAUUGUCUGUGAAGAUGCGGACUACGUGCACCCGGACAGAAAGACCCUAUGAAGCUUUACUGUAGCUUGGUAUUGUGCUCGGGCUCGGAAUGCGCAGGAUAGGUGGGAGGCUAUGAACCAUUGCUUGUGGGUGAUGGUGAGCCACUGGUGAGAUACCACUCUUUCCGAGCUAGAGUUCUAACAGCCACCCGUUAUCCGGGGGCUGGACAGUAUCAGGUGGGCAGUUUGACUGGGGCGGUCGCCUCCUAAAAGGUAACGGAGGCGCGCAAAGGUUUGCUCAGGCUGGUUGGAAAUCAGCCGACGAGUGUAAAAGCAGAAGCAAGCUUGACUGUGAGACCUACAAGUCGAACAGGGAGGAAACUCGGCUUUAGUGAUCCGACGGUUCUGCGUGGAAGGGCCGUCGCUCAACGGAUAAAAGUUACUCUAAGGAUAACAGGCUGAUCUCCCCCAAGAGUUCACAUCGACGGGGAGGUUUGGCACCUCGAUGUCGGCUCAUCGCAACCUGGGGCUGAAGUCGGUCCCAAGGGUUGGGCUGUUCGCCCAUUAAAGCGGUACGCGAGCUGGGUUCAGAACGUCGUGAGACAGUUCGGUCCAUAUCCGGUGCAUGCGCAGGAAUAUUGAGAGGAUUUCUCCCUAGUACGAGAGGACCGGGAGGAACGCACCUCUGGUGUACCAGUUAUCGUGCCAACGGUAAACGCUGGGUAGCCAUGUGCGGAGAGGAUAACCGCUGAAAGCAUCUAAGUGGGAAGCCCACCUCAAGAUGAGUAUUCCCAUGGGGUAACCCAGUAAGGUCACGGGAAGAACACCCGUUGAUAGGCUCUACGUGGAAGCGCAGUAAUGUGUGAAGCGGAGGAGUACUAAUAGACCGAGGGCUUGAUC
RNAcentral lists this ribosomal RNA (1350 nucleotides) under metagenome. RNAcentral's name for it is "bacterial LSU rRNA". It matches the Rfam family "Bacterial large subunit ribosomal RNA", at positions 1564 to 2925 of the family's 2925-position model. The record is from RNAcentral.